This 517-nucleotide ribosomal RNA is filed under the name uncultured Actinomycetes bacterium. RNAcentral's name for it is "bacterial SSU rRNA". It matches the Rfam family "Bacterial small subunit ribosomal RNA", at positions 368 to 896 of the family's 1533-position model. Lineage: Bacteria; Bacillati; Actinomycetota; Actinomycetes. The record is from RNAcentral.
ACAAUGGGCGGAAGCCUGAUCCAGCAACGCCGCGUGAGGGAUGACGGCCUUCGGGUUGUAAACCUCUUUCAGUAGGACGAAGCGCAAGUGACGGUACCUACAGAAGAAGCACCGGCCAACUACGUGCCAGCAGCCGCGGUAAUACGUAGGGUGCGAGCGUUGUCCGGAAUUAUUGGGCGUAAAGGGCUCGUAGGCGGUUUGUCGCGUCGGGAGUGAAAACACCGGGCUUAACUCGGUGCUUGCUUUCGGUACGGGCAGACUAGAGGCAUGCAGGGGAGAACGGAAUUCCUGGUGUAGCGGUGAAAUGCGCAGAUAUCAGGAGGAACACCGGUGGCGAAGGCGGUUCUCUGGGCAUGUCCUGACGCUGAGGAGCGAAAGUGUGGGGAGCGAGCAGGAUUAGAUACCCUGGUAGUCCACACCGUAAACGUUGGGCGCUGGGUGUGGGGCCUAUUCCAUGGGUUCCGUGCCGCAGCUAACGCAUUAAGCGCCCCGCCUGGGGAGUACGGCCGCAAGGCUA